GUAGCUGAGAACUUGAACUUGGCCUUC
RNAcentral lists this non-coding RNA (27 nucleotides) under Mus musculus (house mouse). The record is from RNAcentral. Lineage: Eukaryota; Metazoa; Chordata; Mammalia; Rodentia; Muridae.